This 2883-nucleotide long non-coding RNA is filed under the name Corvus moneduloides (New Caledonian crow). Its description in RNAcentral is "lncRNA (ENSCMUG00000017463.1)". The record is from RNAcentral. Lineage: Eukaryota; Metazoa; Chordata; Aves; Passeriformes; Corvidae.
AUGGGACACCCCAGGAACCCCCAAAUCCCCCAAAUCCCACCCCAAAACCCUCGUGGGACACCCCAGGAACCCCCAAAUCCCCCAAAUCCCACCCAAAACCCUCGUGGGACACCCCAAAUCCCCCAAAUUCCACCCAAAACCCUCGUGGGACAUCCCAAAUCCCCCAAAUCCCCCAAAUUCCACCCAAAAUCCUCAUGGGCCACCCCAAGGACCCCCAAAUCCCCCAAAUUCCACCCCAAAACCCUCGUGGGACACCCCAAGAACCCCCAAAUCCCCCAAAUUCCACCCAAAAUCCUCGUGGGACACCCCAAGGACCCUCAAAUCCCCAAAAUCUCACCCAAAAUCCUCGUGGGACACCCCAGGAACCCCCAAAUCCCCCAAAUUGCACCCAAAAUCCUCGUGGGACACCCCAAGAACCCCCAAAUCCCCCAAAUUUCUCCCAAAACCCUCGUGGGACACCCCAGGAACCCCCAAAUCCCCCAAAUUGCACCCAAAACCCUCGUGGGACACCUCAAAUCCCCCAAAUCCCCCAAAUUCCACCCAAAACCCUCGUGGGACACCCCAAGGACCCCCAAAUCCCCCAAAUUCCACCCAAAACCCUCGUGGGACACCCCAGGAACCCCCAAAUCCCCCAAAUUCCACCCAAAACCUUCGUGGGACACCCCAGGAACCCCAAAUCCCCCAAAUCCCACCCAAAACCCUCUUGGGACACCCCAAAUCCCCCAAUUCCACCGAAAACCCCACAUGAGACACCCCAAGAGCCCCCAAAUCCCCCAAAUUCCACCCAAAAUCCUCGUGGGACACCCCAGGAACCCCCAAAUCCCCCAAAUUGCACCCAAAACCCUCGUGGGACACCCCAAGGACCCUCAAAUCCCCGAAAUUCCACCCAAAACCCUCGUGGGACACCCCAAGGACCCUCAAAUCCCCGAAAUUCCACCCAAAACCUUCGUGGGACACCCCAGGAACCCCCAAAUCCCCCAAAUCCCACCCAAAAUCCUCGUGGGACACCCCAAGAACCCCCAAAUCCCCCAAAUCCCACCCAAAAUCCUCGUGGGACACCCCAAGGACCCCCAAAUCCCCCAAAUUCCACCCAAAAUCCUCGUGGGACACCCCAAAUCCCCCAAAUUCCACCCAAAACCCUCGUGGGACACCCCAAAUCCCCCAAUUCCACUGAAAACCCCACAUGAGACACCCCAAGAACCCCCAAAACCCCCAAAUUCCGCCCCAAACCCUCAUGGGACACCCCAGGAACCCCCAAAUCCCCCAAAUUCCACCCAAAACCUUCGUGGGAAAACCCAGGACCCCCAAAUCCCCCAAAUUCCACCCCAAACCCUCGUGGGACACCCCAAAUCCCCCAAAUUCCACCGAAAACCCCACAUGAGACACCCCAAGAACCCCCAAAACCCCCAAAUUCCGCCCCAAACCCUCAUGGGACACCCCAGGAACCCCCAAAUCCCCCAAAUUGCACCCAAAACCCUCGUGGGACACCCCAAAUCCCCCAAAUUCCACCCAAAACCCUCAUGGGACACCCCAAGGACCCCCAAAUCCCCCAAAUUCCACCCAAAACCCUCGUGGGACACCCCAAAUCCCCCAAAUUCCACCCAAAAUCCUCGUGGGACACCCCAAGGACCCCCAAAUCCCCCAAAUUCCACCCCAAACCCUCAUGGGACACCCCAAGAGCCCCCAAAUCCCCCAAAUUCCACCCAAAACCCUCAUGGGACACCCCAAAUCCCCCAAAUUCCACCCCAAACCCUCAUGGGACACCCCAAGGACCCCCAAAUCCCGCCCCAAACCCUCGUCACCCCCCCCAGGGCCCCCCGAGGGUCCGGCGGCGGCUCCGGCAGGGUGGCACCGUCGCGCGCGGUGGCACCGCGGUGGCACCGGGCCGGGGACUCGGUCCGAGGGUGCCGGAGCGUCAGCCGCCCGCAGGCCCUGGGCCCCUGGCACCGCCUGUGCGCCCCGAGCGGGACGGUGACAGCAGGCGGACAGCCCUCGUGGGGUGGGAAUGGGAAUGGGAAUGGGGAUGGGAAUGGGGACUGGGAAUGGGGACUGGGAAUGGGAAUGGGAAUGGGAAUGGGGAAUGGGAAUGGGAAUGGGGAAUGGGGAUGGGAAUGGGGACUGGGAAUGGGACUGGGAAUGGGGAAUGGGAAUGGGAAUGGGGACUGGGAAUGGGGACUGGGAAUGGGGAUGGGAAUGGGGAAUGGGGAAUGGGGAAUGGGAAUGGGGAAUGGGAAUGGGGAUGGGGACUGGGAAUGGGGAAUGGGAAUGGGGAAUGGGGAAUGGGGAAUGGGGACUGGGGAUGGGAAUGGGAAUGGGGAAUGGGAGUGGGGAAUGGGGACUGGGAAUGGGAAUGGGGACAGGGAAUGGGAAUGGGGAAUGGGGAAUGGGGAAUGGGGACUGGGGGUGGGAAUGGGAAUGGGAAUGGGGAAUGGGAGUGGGGAAUGGGGACUGGGAAUGGGAAUGGGGACAGGGAAUGGGGACUGGGAAUGGGAAUGGGGACUGAGAAUGGGGACUGGGACUGGAGACUGGGAAUGGGGACAGGGAAUGGGGACAGGGACUGGGAAUGGGGACGGGGAAUGGGGACUGGGAAUGGGGACUGGGAAUGGGAAUGGGGACAGGGACAGGGAACUGGGAAUGGGGACUGGGAACGGGGACAGGGACUGGGAAUGGGGACGGGGAAUGGGGAUGGGGAAUGGGGACUGGGAAUGGGAAUGGGGACAGGGAAUGGGGACUGGGACAGGGAACUGGGAAUGGGAAUGGGGACAGGGACAGGGGACUGGGAAUGGGGACUGGGAACGGGGACAGGGACUGGGAAUGGGGACGGGGAAUGGGGAUGGGGAAUGGGGACUGGGAAUGGGAAUGGGGACAGGGAAUGGGGACUGA